CCUGGAUUCUUUGAGACAAACAGACACAGUUCAGAGCUCACGGCUUAAAAACUCCAGUUUUUUGCUUAACAGACACUGCUUUUAUUAUCAAACAUUGAAAAUGGAGCAAAAUAUUAAUUUAGACAAUUUUCUAUUUGGUGACGAAGAAGAGAUUGAGGAACGGCUAGCUAAAACUCCAGGAUGGCGUUUAUUAACUGGAAAGAGGGGGAAAAAGAAAUAUUUUGCAGCUUGCCUGGUGGGAAAGGAAGAGACUGAACUUGACAAAGUCGACCUUUCAAAAAAGGAGGUUCAGGAGCUAGAGGAUAAAACUGUGACAAAGUUCACUUUUGGUGACUUUGUUGAAGAUGAGGUACAGGAGCAGGAGGAUAAAACUGUGACAAAGUUCACUUUUGGUGACUUUGUCGAAGAUGAGGUACAGGAGCUGGAGGAUAAAACUGUGACAAAGUUCACUUUUGGUGACUUUGUUGAAGAUGAGGUACAGGAGCAGGAGGAUAAAACUGUGACAAAGUUCACUUUUGGUGACUUUGACGAAGAUGAGGUACAGGAGCAGGAGGAAAAAACUGUGACAAAGUUCACUUUUGGUGACUUUGACGAAGAUGAGGUACAGGAGCAGGAGGAAAAAACUGUGACAAAGUUCACUUUUGGUGACUUUGUCGAAGAUGAGGUACAGGAGCAGGAGGAAAAAACUGUGACAAAGUUCACUUUUGGUGACUUUGUUGAAGAUGAGGUUCAGGAGCAGGAGGAAAAAACAAUGAUAAAGUUCACUUUUGGUGACUUUGACGAAGAUGACCCCCUAAUAAAAGAAACCUGUGGGGUGUCAUUCCACCGGAAGGGGGAUCAAAGCAGACUUGUGGGAAGAAGGUAAAGAAGCAGGAGAAGAAAAAAGACACUGGCCCAAAAGGAAACUGACCUUCAUCUCCUGAAAACUAGAGUCAGGUACAAGUGAAGCAUCCAGCAGCCACUCUGAAUCAGCAGCUGCUCCAAUGAGUCCCUGUGAACCACAGCAAGCUGAAUGAGGAACAGGAGCUGAAAAAACAAACAGCAGAGGAGCAAACAAGGAUGAUGAACAACGAUAAUAAACAGAUACCAUGUGAAAAAAAUGAAAAAAUG
This 1110-nucleotide long non-coding RNA is filed under the name Gouania willdenowi (blunt-snouted clingfish). RNAcentral describes it as "lncRNA (ENSGWIG00000021153.1)". Lineage: Eukaryota; Metazoa; Chordata; Actinopteri; Blenniiformes; Gobiesocidae. The record is from RNAcentral.